GAUGAAGAACGGAGCGAAAUGCGAUAAGUAAUGUGAAUUGCAGAAUUCAGUGAAUCAUCGAAUCUUUGAACGCACAUUGCGCCCGCCAGUAUUCUGGCGGGCAUGCCUGUUCGAGCGUCAUUUCAACCAUCAAGCCCCCCGGCUUGUGUUGGGGACCUGCGGCUGCCGCAGGCCCUGAAAAGCAGUGGCGGGCUCGCUGUCACACCGAGCGUAGUAGCAUACAUCUCGCUCUGGGCGUGCUGCGGGUUCCGGCCGUUAAACCACCUUCAUAACCCAAGGUUGACCUCGGAUCAGGCAGGAAGACCCGCUGAACUUAAGCAUAUCAAUAAGCGGAGGA
This 337-nucleotide unclassified non-coding RNA is filed under the name soil metagenome. RNAcentral describes it as "partial contains 5.8S ribosomal RNA, internal transcribed spacer 2, and large subunit ribosomal RNA". The stretch from base 1 to 120 matches the Rfam family "5.8S ribosomal RNA", at positions 35 to 154 of the family's 154-position model. The record is from RNAcentral.